ACUCUAAUAGUUUAUAACAAAACAUUGGUCUUGUAAACCAAAAACUGAAGAUUAUGCCCUUCUUAGAGUAACA
RNAcentral lists this transfer RNA (73 nucleotides) under Nesotrochis steganinos (Haitian cave-rail). Its description in RNAcentral is "tRNA-Thr". It matches the Rfam family "tRNA". Rfam says of the family: Transfer RNA (tRNA) molecules are approximately 80 nucleotides in length. Their secondary structure includes four short double-helical elements and three loops (D, anti-codon, and T loops). The record is from RNAcentral. Lineage: Eukaryota; Metazoa; Chordata; Aves; Gruiformes; Rallidae.